This 253-nucleotide ribosomal RNA is filed under the name uncultured bacterium. RNAcentral's name for it is "partial 16S ribosomal RNA". It matches the Rfam family "Bacterial small subunit ribosomal RNA", at positions 524 to 776 of the family's 1533-position model. The record is from RNAcentral.
UACGGAGGGUCCAAGCGUUAUCCGGAUUCACUGGGUUUACAGGGUGCGUAGGCGGGCAGGUAAGUCAGUGGUGAAAUCCCCGAGCUUAACUUGGGAACUGCCGUUGAUACUAUCUGUCUUGAAUACCGUGGAGGUGAGCGGAAUAUGUCAUGUAGCGGUGAAAUGCUUAGAUAUGACAUAGAACACCAAUUGCGAAGGCAGCUCGCUACACGAAUAUUGACUCUGAGGCACGAAAGCGUGGGGAUCAAACAGG